AUGCUCACUGCAAAUAGAAGCACUGACAAAUACACAUUGCACUAAGAUUAAUACACUAGAAUUGAAAAAAAUCCCAACAUAGUUUGAAAUUCUAAUCGCUUUGCUAUUUCCAUAUGAAAGAAAUCUCUAUAACAUGUUUGCCCCUUAAACAUGGUGAGACCCAUUAUAAAAUUUUCCAUUUUCAUUAACAAUUAAGCGUUUCUGAAUCAAACACAGCCAACCCAUAUCAUAAUUCCAAGAGUUGUAUGCAAACUUUUGUUGUUAACAUCCUCAAAUACACCAACCAUAACAAUGAAUAAGCAAUAACUAGAGAGAAUAGAAGGCG
This 325-nucleotide unclassified non-coding RNA is filed under the name Hevea brasiliensis (rubber tree). The record is from RNAcentral. Lineage: Eukaryota; Viridiplantae; Streptophyta; Magnoliopsida; Malpighiales; Euphorbiaceae.